UGUGAGCCAGCUCCUCUUAAAUGAAUCAGCUUGCCGGUGUUUGGUGGCAUCACAGGUGUGAUAACUAUCUACGCUUGUGGUUUCCCAUCAGGUAACCUUCAGCGAUGGAGGUUCACCGGGGCUUAUAAACAUCUCUCCUCAGUGAGGACAGAUUUUGACCGUUUGAUCUCAAAUCAGGUAGGACUACCCGCUGAACUUAA
RNAcentral lists this unclassified non-coding RNA (200 nucleotides) under soil metagenome. RNAcentral describes it as "partial contains internal transcribed spacer 2 and large subunit ribosomal RNA". The record is from RNAcentral.